This 661-nucleotide ribosomal RNA is filed under the name Streptomyces sp. F47-3. Its description in RNAcentral is "bacterial SSU rRNA". It matches the Rfam family "Bacterial small subunit ribosomal RNA", at positions 26 to 689 of the family's 1533-position model. Lineage: Bacteria; Bacillati; Actinomycetota; Actinomycetes; Kitasatosporales; Streptomycetaceae. The record is from RNAcentral.
AGACGAACGCUGGCGGCGUGCUUAACACAUGCAAGUCGAACGAUGAACCACUUCGGUGGGGAUUAGUGGCGAACGGGUGAGUAACACGUGGGCAAUCUGCCCUUCACUCUGGGACAAGCCCUGGAAACGGGGUCUAAUACCGGAUACGACUACUGAGGGCAUCCUUGNGUGGUGGAAAGCUCCGGCGGUGAAGGAUGAGCCCGCGGCCUAUCAGCUUGUUGGUGAGGUAACGGCUCACCAAGGCGACGACGGGUAGCCGGCCUGAGAGGGCGACCGGCCACACUGGGAUUGAGACACGGCCCAGACUCCUACGGGAGGCAGCAGUGGGGAAUAUUGCACAAUGGGCGAAAGCCUGAUGCAGCGACGCCGCGUGAGGGAUGACGGCCUUCGGGUUGUAAACCUCUUUCAGCAGGGAAGAAGCGAAAGUGACGGUACCUGCAGAAGAAGCGCCGGCUAACUACGUGCCAGCAGCCGCGGGUAAUACGUUAGGGCGCAAGCGUUUGUCCGGAAUUAUUUGGGGCGUUAAGAGCUCGUANGCGGCUUGUCACGUCNAUUGUNAAAACCCCAAGGCUUAACCUCGGGGUCUUGCAGUCCNAUACGGGCUAACUUAAAGUGUUGGUUAGGGGAAAAUCGGAAUUCCUGGGUUUUACCGGUNAAAUNC